RNAcentral lists this ribosomal RNA (450 nucleotides) under uncultured bacterium. RNAcentral describes it as "partial 16S ribosomal RNA". It matches the Rfam family "Bacterial small subunit ribosomal RNA", at positions 354 to 796 of the family's 1533-position model. The record is from RNAcentral.
GUGGGGAAUCUUCCGCAAUGGACGAAAGUCUGACGGAGCAACGCCGCGUGAGUGAUGAAGGUCUUCGGAUUGUAAAGCUCUGUUAAUCGGGACGAAAGAGCCUAGUGUGAAUAAUGCUAGGAAGUGACGGUACCGGAAUAGAAAGCCACGGCUAACUACGUGCCAGCAGCCGCGGUAAUACGUAGGUGGCAAGCGUUGUCCGGAAUUAUUGGGCGUAAAGCGCGCGCAGGCGGAUCUGCCAGUCUGUCUUAAAAGUUCGGGGCUUAACCCCGUGAUGGGAUGGAAACUACAGAUCUAGAGUAUCGGAGAGGAAAGUGGAAUUCCUAGUGUAGCGGUGAAAUGCGUAGAUAUUAGGAAGAACAACAGUGGCGAAGGCGACUUUCUGGACGAAAACUGACGCUGAGGCGCGAAAGCCAGGGGAGCGAACGGGAUUAGAUACCCGGGUAGUCC